This 1159-nucleotide ribosomal RNA is filed under the name uncultured organism. RNAcentral describes it as "bacterial SSU rRNA". It matches the Rfam family "Bacterial small subunit ribosomal RNA", at positions 119 to 1280 of the family's 1533-position model. The record is from RNAcentral.
UUGCAACCUACCUCUAACUGGAGGAUAGCCCGAAGAAAUUCGGAUUAAUAUUCCAUAAAGUCAAUUUAAGGCAUCUUUUAUUGAUUAAAGCUCCGGCGGUUAGAGAUGGGCAUGCGUGUCAUUAGCUAGUUGGUGAGGUAACGGCUCACCAAGGCCACGAUGACUAGGGGGUCUGAGAGGAUGAUCCCCCACACUGGUACUGAGACACGGACCAGACUCCUACGGGAGGCAGCAGUGAGGAAUAUUGGGCAAUGGACGCAAGUCUGACCCAGCCAUGCCGCGUGCAGGAUGACUGCCCUAUGGGUUGUAAACUGCUUUUGUUUGGGAAGAAACCCCCGAUCGUGAUCGGGGCUGACGGUACCAUACGAAUAAGCAUCGGCUAACUCCGUGCCAGCAGCCGCGGUAAUACGGAGGAUGCAAGCGUUAUCCGGAUUCAUUGGGUUUAAAGGGUGCGCAGGCGGAAUAUUAAGUCAGUGGUGAAAUCCUGCAGCUUAACUGUAGAACUGCCAUUGAUACUGAUAUUCUUGAAUAUAGUUGAGGUGGGCGGAAUGUGUAAUGUAGCGGUGAAAUGCUUAGAUAUUACACAGAACACCAAUUGCGAAGGCAGCUCACUAAACUAAUAUUGACGCUGAGGCACGAAAGCGUGGGUAGCAAACAGGAUUAGAUACCCUGGUAGUCCACGCUGUAAACUAUGAUCACUCGCUGUUGGCAAUACAUCGUCAGCGGCUGAGCGAAAGCAUUAAGUGAUCCACCUGGGGAGUACGGUAUCAUGAUUUAAACUCAAAGGAAUUGUCGGGGGCCCGCACAAGCGGAGGAACAUGUGGUUUAAUUCGAUGAUACGCGAGGAACCUUACCUGGGGUUAAAUGCAGAGCGACGUCCGCCGAAAGGUGGAUUCCUUCGGGCGAUCUGCAAGGUGCUGCAUGGUAGUCGUCAGCUCGUGCCGUGAGGUGUCGGGUUAAGUCCCAUAACGAGCGCAACCGUUAUCGUUAGUUGCUACCGGGUAAUGCCGGGGACUCUAACGAAACUGCCGGUGUAAACUCGUGAGGAAGGUGGGGAUGACGUCAAAUCAGCACGGCCCUUAUGUCCAGGGCUACACACCGUGUUACAAUGGUCGGUACAGAGGGCAGCUACCACGCGAGUGGAUGCUAAUCUCGAAAA